RNAcentral lists this long non-coding RNA (1283 nucleotides) under Astyanax mexicanus (Mexican tetra). RNAcentral's name for it is "lncRNA (ENSAMXG00005000672.1)". Lineage: Eukaryota; Metazoa; Chordata; Actinopteri; Characiformes; Acestrorhamphidae. The record is from RNAcentral.
UAUCUAUAAAAGCACAGCACAAAACAAGUAAUUAAAUGCCAAGUUCUACUGUAUAAAGAAGCAAAAAAGAAAAAAAAUAUCCUGACAGAGUUCUAUGGAUCACACCCUGUUCCAUUCAGGCGUACAGCUAGACUUAUCCAGACUGUCAGAAUGGGCUCAAGUAUGUAUGUGUAAUCGAUCUGUCCUCCCAGCUUCUCGCUUCAGCUUGUGCCAAUCAGAGCAGCGCUGGACAGACUCUGGUUUUUGGGCUCUGUAUUACUGCCUGUCUUUCACUCUGAGCAGUGUGUGACACACACAGCAAUUUAAAUCAAGCCUCUGCUGUAAUUACUGCGGCUUUUUCCAGCUCGCUAACCUCAGUUUAGCUCCUCUAAUAGUGUAUUAUUGUGAUAUUCUGUCCAAACUGCCAGAGCUCAGACACAAACACUUCUACUGUCGUCCGUGUUGUAGUUACCCUAGAGCCCAGCACACACACACACACACACACACAUACACAUACACACAUACACAUACACGCAACGUCUGUGCCUGUGCAGGAAAGGGACUGAUGCUUUCAAUAACCUCAGUGGAGUAAGAGUUUUUUAUUUGGUUAUCAUUUUCCCAUUUCCACAGAGAUGCAGACUACUGAAGCAUCGAGACACUGUAAAUUUACACUCCUUCUGAUGCCAUGGUAGAUGCUGCAGCACUGACAGGCCUAUAAACCAAACAGGGAAUCAUCACACUUUUUUAAAGGAUAAGAAGAAGAGAGACUCUACUUAGGAGUUCUACAGUUUUAUAAGGUGUUGUCAUGCCUUUCCUCCUGAGCUUAGUGCAGGUUAUCCUGCUGUCAGUGCUUUUCAUCCAGUACACGGCCGCGUUUCCAGCUGUGGGCAGGGAUGUGGAGGAUGAUGACAGCCUUAUAAGCAUGGACAGUCACUCCCACAGAAGAUGUUUGUUUCCAAGAGACAGCCUAGAUGAAGAGGGCCUUGCUGUAGAAGACAGAGGGAACAGGAGGUCUGAGCUGCAGAUCAGACAGCUGGGUGACCUGGAGUUCACCAACCGGUACGCUGAGCUGCUAAAAUCUAAAGCCAAGCUCUCCCACCUCUGUUCAUUCCUCCGCCGCAUGCAGAACAGCAAAAAGAGUGGCCUCACUGCAGACACAGAGCGAGUGAACACACUGAUGAAGCAAUAUAUGUGUGCCAACGUGUACCAGUGACACACCCAACCCAUCUGUAUCCAGCAAUACAAUGCAUCAUGUGAAGACUGAACACAAUAAAACAAUUAUUCUGGAAGACCGAUGAAGAUUU